RNAcentral lists this ribosomal RNA (253 nucleotides) under uncultured bacterium. RNAcentral's name for it is "partial 16S ribosomal RNA". It matches the Rfam family "Bacterial small subunit ribosomal RNA", at positions 524 to 776 of the family's 1533-position model. The record is from RNAcentral.
UACGGAGGGUGCAAGCAUUAAUCGGAUUUAUUGGGCGUAAAGGGCGUGUAGGCGGUUUUAUAAGUCGGAUGUGAAAUCCUGGAGCUCAACUCCAGAACAGCAUUCGAAACUGUAAGACUUGAGGGUAGACGGGGAAAACAGAAUUCCACAAGUAGCGGUGAAAUGCGUAGAUAUGUGGAGGAAUACCGGUGGCGAAGGCGGUUUUCUAGUUUAUACCUGACGCUGAGGCGCGAAAGCAAGGGGAGCAAACAGG